RNAcentral lists this ribosomal RNA (488 nucleotides) under uncultured bacterium. RNAcentral describes it as "partial 16S ribosomal RNA". It matches the Rfam family "Bacterial small subunit ribosomal RNA", at positions 30 to 507 of the family's 1533-position model. The record is from RNAcentral.
UGAACGCUGGCGGCAGGCCUAACACAUGCACGUCGCCCGGUAACAGGAAGCAGCUUGCUGCUUCGCUGACGAGUGGCGGACGGGUGAGUAAUGUCUGGGAAGCUGCCUGAUGGAGGGGGAUAACUACUGGAAACGGUAGCUAAUACCGCAUAAUGUCGCAAGACCAAAGAGGGGGACCUUCGGGCCUCUUGCCCUCGGAUGUGCCCAGAUGGGAUUAGCUUGUUGGUGGGGUAACGGCUCACCAAGGCGACGAUCCCUAGCUGGUCUGAGAGGAUGACCAGCCACACUGGGACUGAGACACGGUCCAGACUCCUACGGGAGGCAGCAGUGGGGAAUAUUGCACAAUGGGCGCAAGCCUGAUGCAGCCAUGCCGCGUGUAUGAAGAAGGCCUUCGGGUUGUAAAGUACUUUCAGCGGGGAGGAAGGGAGUAAAGUUAAUACCUUUGCUCAUUGACGUUACCCGCAGAAGAAGCACCGGCUAACUCCGUG